AACGGCUACCACAUCUAAGGAAGGCAGCAGGCGCGCAAGUUACCCAAUCCCGACACGGGGAGGUAGUGACAAGAAAUAACAAUACAGGGCCUUCGGGUCUUGUAAUUGGAAUGAGUACAAUUUAAACCCCUUAACGAGGAACAAUUGGAGGGCAAGUCUGGUGCCAGCAGCCGCGGUAAUUCCAGCUCCAAUAGCGUAUAUUAAUGUUGUUGCAGUUAAAAAGCUCGUAGUUGGAUUUUGGGCUAACUUGGCCGGUCCCGCUUUCUUUUGUGCUCUAACGGGUGCAGAGGGGAGUGGUUGUUUACUGGUUUCCCAAGGGGGAUCAAUUUCUGUGUGAGGGAGGGGGGUAACCUCUUUUCUUGCUCAGGGUUGGUUUCUCUAAGGUUAGCCUUAUACCCUUCUUCUAAAGACUUGGUAUACUCUUAAUCGGGCGUACCAAGGAUUUAGGACUUUUACUUUGAAAAAAUUAGAGUGUUCAAAGCAGGCAACUUUUUUGCUUGAAUACAUUAGCAUGGAAUAAUAAAAUAGGACUUUUGGUCUUAUUUUGUUGGUUUCUAAGACCGAAGUAAUGAUUAAUAGGGAUAGUGGGGGUGGUUAGUAUUUAAUUGU
RNAcentral lists this ribosomal RNA (609 nucleotides) under uncultured fungus. Its description in RNAcentral is "bacterial SSU rRNA". It matches the Rfam family "Eukaryotic small subunit ribosomal RNA", at positions 402 to 905 of the family's 1831-position model. The record is from RNAcentral. Lineage: Eukaryota; Fungi.